GAUCAUGGCUCAGGACGAACGCUGGCGGCGCGCCUAACACAUGCAAGUCGAGGGGAAACGACAUCGAAAGCUUGCUUUUGAUGGGCGUCGACCGGCGCACGGGUGAGUAACGCGUAUCCAACCUGCCCAUCACUUGGGAAUAACCUUGCGAAAGUAAGACUAAUGCCCAAUGAUAUCCCACGAAGGCAUCCGAAUGGGAUUAAAGAUUUAUCGGUGAUGGAUGGGGAUGCGUCUGAUUAG
RNAcentral lists this ribosomal RNA (240 nucleotides) under uncultured bacterium. RNAcentral's name for it is "partial 16S ribosomal RNA". It matches the Rfam family "Bacterial small subunit ribosomal RNA", at positions 15 to 244 of the family's 1533-position model. The record is from RNAcentral.